GGAUGUGGCUCAGUGGUCAAUCGCAUGCCUGGCAUUUAUGAGGCCCUGGGUUCAAUCCCAGCACCA
RNAcentral lists this transfer RNA (66 nucleotides) under Marmota monax (woodchuck). Its description in RNAcentral is "tRNA.Ala". Lineage: Eukaryota; Metazoa; Chordata; Mammalia; Rodentia; Sciuridae. The record is from RNAcentral.